GAUGAACGCUGGCGGCGUGCUUAACACAUGCAAGUCGAACGGGAUCCCAGGAGCUUGCUCCUGGGUGAGAGUGGCGAACGGGUGAGUAAUGCGUGACCGACCUGCCCCAUACACCGGAAUAGCUCCUGGAAACGGGUGGUAAUGCCGGAUGCUCCAGUUGGAUGCAUGUCCUUCUGGGAAAGAUUCAUCGGUAUGGGAUGGGGUCGCGUCCUAUCAGCUUGAUGGCGGGGUAACGGCCCACCAUGGCUUCGACGGGUAGCCGGCCUGAGAGGGCGACCGGCCACAUUGGGACUGAGAUACGGCCCAGACUCCUACGGGAGGCAGCAGUGGGGAAUAUUGCACAAUGGGCGCAAGCCUGAUGCAGCGACGCCGCGUGCGGGAUGACGGCCUUCGGGUUGUAAACCGCUUUUGACUGGGAGCAAGCCCUUCGGGGUGAGUGUACCUUUCGAAUAAGCACCG
RNAcentral lists this ribosomal RNA (459 nucleotides) under uncultured bacterium. Its description in RNAcentral is "bacterial SSU rRNA". It matches the Rfam family "Bacterial small subunit ribosomal RNA", at positions 28 to 495 of the family's 1533-position model. The record is from RNAcentral.